CAAUUUAAAACUUAAUAGUUAAGUAUUUCAUUUACAUUGAAAGUAAUUUUGUGCAAAUCAAAUUAAAUUGA
RNAcentral lists this transfer RNA (71 nucleotides) under Penicillidia jenynsii. Its description in RNAcentral is "tRNA-Val". The record is from RNAcentral. Lineage: Eukaryota; Metazoa; Arthropoda; Insecta; Diptera; Nycteribiidae.